RNAcentral lists this ribosomal RNA (250 nucleotides) under Escherichia coli. RNAcentral's name for it is "partial 23S ribosomal RNA". It matches the Rfam family "Bacterial large subunit ribosomal RNA", at positions 1 to 242 of the family's 2925-position model. The record is from RNAcentral. Lineage: Bacteria; Pseudomonadati; Pseudomonadota; Gammaproteobacteria; Enterobacterales; Enterobacteriaceae.
GGGUUGUGAGGUUAAGCGAAUAAGCGUACACGGUGGAUGCCUAGGCAGUCAGAGGCGAUGAAGGACGUGCUAAUCUGCGAUAAGCGCCGGUAAGGUGAUAUGAACCGUUAUAACCGGCGAUUUCCGAAUGGGGAAACCCAGUGUGAUCCGUCACACUAUCAUUACCUGAAUACAUAGGGUAAUGAAGCGAACCGGGAGAACUGAAACAUCUAAGUACCCCGAGGAAAAGAAAUCAAACGAGAUUCCCCCA